Molecule: ribosomal RNA, 852 nt
Filed under: uncultured bacterium
Lineage: Bacteria
Description: bacterial SSU rRNA
Rfam family: Bacterial small subunit ribosomal RNA
Source: RNAcentral
GAUGAACGCUAGCGGCAGGCCUAAUACAUGCAAGUCGAACGGUAAGGCUUCUUCGGAAGUACACGAGUGGCGGACGGGUGCGUAACGCGUAUGCAACUUACCUUCAACUGGGGGAUAGCCCGUGGAAACAUGGAUUAAUACCCCGUAAUGUGUAGAUAUCGCAUGGUAUUUACAUUAAAGAUUUAUUGGUUGAAGAUGGGCAUGCGUCUGAUUAGCUAGUUGGCGGGGUAACGGCCCACCAAGGCAACGAUCAGUAGGGGACCUGAGAGGGUGAUCCCCCACACUGGCACUGAGAUACGGGCCAGACUCCUACGGGAGGCAGCAGUAGGGAAUAUUGGUCAAUGGGCGAGAGCCUGAACCAGCCAUGCCGCGUGCAGGAAGACGGCCUUCUGGGUUGUAAACUGCUUUUAUACGGGAACAAAAUACCCUUGCGAGGGAGCUUGCGUGUACCGUAUGAAUAAGCACCGGCUAACUCCGUGCCAGCAGCCGCGGUAAUACGGAGGGUGCAAGCGUUGUCCGGAUUUAUUGGGUUUAAAGGGUGCGUAGGCGGCUGAUUAAGUCUGUGGUGAAAGGUCCCAGCUCAACUGGGGAAUUGCCAUGGAUACUGGUCAGCUUGAUUACGGUGGAGGUAAGUGGAAUUGAUGGUGUAGCGGUGAAAUGCAUAGAUACCAUCAAGAACACCAAUAGCGUAGGCAUCUUACUACGCCGUAAAUGACGCUGAGGCACGAAAGCAUGGGUAUCGAACAGGAUUAGAUACCCUGGUAGUCCAUGCUGUAAACGAUGAUCACUCGCUGUUGGCGAUAUUACAGUCAGCGGCCAAGCGAAAGCAUUAAGUGAUCCACCUGGGGAGUA